This 93-nucleotide non-coding RNA is filed under the name Gemmatimonadota bacterium. RNAcentral describes it as "Gemmatimonadetes bacterium c-di-GMP sequence". It matches the Rfam family "c-di-GMP-II-GAG riboswitch aptamer". The record is from RNAcentral. Lineage: Bacteria; Pseudomonadati; Gemmatimonadota.
AGGCAACUCAGAUGCCAUGAACCCCGAGACGCGAUGUCGAGCGGCUCGCCCAGGCCUCGGGGGGAGCCAAUCGCGAAACCGGCUGAGUGGGAU